GCUGCGAUGGCCGAGUGGUUAAGGCGAGAGAUUAGAAAAUCUCUUGGGGUCUCCCCGCGCAGGUUCGAAUCCUGUUCGCAGCG
This 83-nucleotide transfer RNA is filed under the name Oikopleura dioica. It matches the Rfam family "tRNA". From Rfam's summary of the family: Transfer RNA (tRNA) molecules are approximately 80 nucleotides in length. Their secondary structure includes four short double-helical elements and three loops (D, anti-codon, and T loops). Lineage: Eukaryota; Metazoa; Chordata; Appendicularia; Copelata; Oikopleuridae. The record is from Rfam by way of RNAcentral.